GAAGAAUUGACAAGCCAGGUUUUUAUUCCAAUUUAUUUAAUGAGCUAAAAAAAAAAUCUCUACAUGUAAAUUACUAGUGAGAUGUCUGAUUAAACUGGACCAGUGACAGCAUUUAGCUGGCAUGAGGGUCCACCCUGCCUGCUUAGAUGCCUUUUCUUGGCAGGAGCCUUGGGAGAGGUUGGGCUGUUGACAACAUAGAAUUUGUGUACUUCAAAAUGUCUGCACAUCUACUCUAUGUGCUCACACUUUUGUAACUGCAGAGAAGCGAGGCUGUGAGAUAUCACUAUCUUUAAUUCCAGCCUACAACCUUUCUAAAAGGCAAUUCUAUACAAAGAACUGGAAAGCAUACGCACAAAACUGAAAUCUAAUCAGAGGGAGAAAAUUCAAAACAUUUUUUGUGCUUCAAGUCUAUAUAGGGUGCAAUGCAGAAGGUCAGGGUUCUUUUAUGUUUUUUUUUUCCAUUUUAAUAAUGAUGUCCAGAGAUGCUGUAAAACAGUAAGAAUGCUUAUAGAGUUCUUUGUGCUUGUUGCCAAGAGACUAGAACUUCAACCUACUCAACUGUAAAAUAUCAUCUUUAGCACACAGCUUAGCCUAUCCAAUCCCAAGGCAUAAUGCCAUGAAUACGAAUCCCUCUUCGUCCUCAGUCUAUUUGCCUUCCUGGGGCCCACAGAUGCCCUUCUAAUGGCAGUCUUCCAGAUUGCACCUCUUCUAAGUGCCCACUGCUUGGGAAACCAGGAAUUAUUAGCCUGCUUUACUGUAUGUACCUCGCGACCUAAUUAAAAUCUACACCUUCAAUGUUUCAUUGCAGGAAGCACUAUUGCAAGAAUGACUAUCUGUUCUAACAAGCUCAACUCGGUGAAGCAACCUUUGGAAGGAGAUUAUAGUUAAACAGGAAAAAAAUAUAGCCUAGUAUAGUCCUGCCUUGCAACUAUAUUAAGCCAUAACUGGAGGAAUGAAUCCAAUCAGGCCGCGUUAGGCUACACAUUUCAGGAAAAAUUUGGUGGAGAUGGUUCUGGAUGACUCACUCUUAAUUGCUUCUGGCUCAGAAAAACUGGUAUUGAGAUUUUGUUUCAAAUGGCCUACAUGAUGAGAUGAAGUAAAGUGAACAACAUGGGCAGUGUGAUGUUGUGUUAAGCUACUGCUGACCUUCCGACAAUGUGUCUGCUUCCAGACAUCUGCUUCCAGACUGCAGUUGAUAGCAGGUCACUGGAUUCAAAGAACAAGAAAUGAUAUAAACAAAUGGACUUCAAGGCCAGAGCAGCAUGGUCUCCAGAAUUUCCCAGCACUACAGUGGUCUCAGUGACCUGUACUUCAAAGCAAGGAAGAUGCUGAAUUAUCCUUUUGUACCAUCUUUUGUUCUUUCACAAUUGGUUGUAGAAAGUGCAGCCCUCAGCUUCAGACACUGAAACCCAAUGAAUCAAACAUAAUGAGUCGGACAUGUCAUUGAAUAAAACGCAGGAAAAAUGCUGUGGGUUCCACACCAUUGCCUCUAUUAAA
Molecule: long non-coding RNA, 1497 nt
Organism: Acinonyx jubatus (cheetah)
Lineage: Eukaryota; Metazoa; Chordata; Mammalia; Carnivora; Felidae
Exons: 4
Source: RefSeq, a predicted model, not a curated record